UUGAUAUACCGAAGAAUAGGGCCCGUAAGUCUCGUUUACUUUCACUUUCGAUUUACCACUUCCGGGUACAUCGGCAGACUUAUUUACCGUUACGCAUAUAGGUAACCCGAAGAACUCGAGGGAUAUAGAAGUUAAAUUUGUUUCGGUCCUCUUCAGAUUUGAAGGAAUGGAUAGCACGGGUCAAAAAAUGCAGAUGUAAAGACAAGGAGGUAUAUGACAAGUAUAGAAUAUACAGUUGUUCAAUAUGGACCAUUAAUCAACUGUUUGCACUGCCUAUGAUCCUGAAAUAUCUAUACAUCAAAGAUAAAAAGGGAAAAGAUGAAAAAGGAUUUGUCCAUGAAGACCUUUAUUGCAACUACCAUCUUCCAGUUCCUUAAUUUGAGAAUGAUAUCAGAGAACACACAGUUACAGUGAAAUAUUAGUUUAAUAUAAGCCACUGAGAAUAGUCAAAUGUACUUUCCUGAAGAAGAUGAAUGACAUCCAGCACAAAAAUCUUAAUGUAUAAAGAGUAUGAUUUUAUGGUGUUUGACACUAUGAUCUUGUUAACAUGUUAAUGUCACAAUGAUAGAAACAGAGUAAAAUAUCCACAUGUCAUUGCAGUUUUAAGUAUUAAAACUAGAUAAUCUAUAUAUACCAAAGCUGUUAACACACCAGAGAUAAGGUUUUUUCAUGGAAUCACAGUAUAGUCAUAUGACAUUAUGGACAUUAAAUGACUAUGAAGUAAAGAUUAGCAAACAUAUUAUAUAAUUAUCAUCUACUACUAAUAUUGUGAGGUAAUCAUUGAUAAGCUCACAAAUUUGCAAUCAAAGCUUUGAUAUCAAGCUGAACAUUUUUCAAUUAGAAUAUGAUUUAUAACUCUAUGAUAAUUUGUUCAUGUUAAUUUUCAAAGUCUUUACAUUUGUAAAAGGAAAUAUUCUUAUUCUUGUAUCAGUAGACAUUCACAGUGUAAAGUUACAUUGUCCAAAUAACUAAUAAUAAUCCCAAGUGCUUUCCUGAAUUUUUUCUUCCACUGGAAAAUCAGUGUGAUAUAUAUGCUAAGCAGUGCACUAUAAAUUGUGUAAAAAUAAAAGUUUAUUAAACUUAUGAACUGUUUUUUGUUUCUACUAUUUGGCAUAUAUUUAUAGCAGUGCUUGAUCAUAA
Molecule: long non-coding RNA, 1140 nt
Organism: Ruditapes philippinarum (Manila clam)
Lineage: Eukaryota; Metazoa; Mollusca; Bivalvia; Venerida; Veneridae
Exons: 3
Source: RefSeq, a predicted model, not a curated record